AAGGGGGUGGGGAAGGAUGCGAUGUGCAAGCACGGAGGGCGGCCCGGGGGUGCGAUACCGCACGCCCGGAGCCAGGACUCUUUACCUUGUCGCUGUAAUCCCUCAGGACCCGCUCGAUAGCCCCCGCUUCGCCGGCCCGGACGAUGUAGAGGGCGCGCUCCUCAUCCAUGGCCGCAGGUGCGGGGGAGCCGCGGCCGCUCUGCGCGCCCAAGCCGCUGCCUCCAGGAAAGCACCGGAAGACUCCAUAACUCAGAAGAUGCGGACACUGUUUUCUCCUGUGGCUCUUUCCACACAUGUCUUUUUCUCUACAAGCAACUUCCAGGGUGGGCUGGGCCAGACCAAACCCUGCUGAUUCCAGUCCCUUUGGUCUUGACCCCAUGGAACAAUGGGAUGAAGCCCAGAGAUCUGUCAGCUUUCUGAGGCACAGACUUCUGCCAGGCCUGCAGACAGAGCUCAGGAUAAAGAACCAAAGGUCUGCCCUGUCUCAAGGCCCAUAGAUGUGUGCUCUGCAGGUGGAAUGGCCGUCCGGUGCUUACUUUGACUGUCCUCGGGUCCCGAGUCUUCUGGUGGUUAACUGAGGAAACUGCUGCCUUAUGAUCUAGCAGAGGAUGAUAAUUGCUGUUGCCCAGGACAGCCACAUCAAUUCACAAGAAAUCUGUGAAGAGAGAGCAUCUCUCAAGGGAUUUUUCGAAUGUCACGAAGACUGCCUUCCCUCCUGGCACAGCAUUGAGCAGGCAUGCAUGGCCAGAGAGAGUGAGCCUUCAUGAGAAGAGAUGCUGUUGCUGAUUUCUUAUUGAAAAGGAUUUCCUUGUUGAAAUAACAGUGAAAGUUCAAGAUAAUCUCGGAAGAAGCACCUAAAAUCUACCAGAAUGUUAUGCUGGUUUUUUUUUCUUUCUUUCCUUUUUAAAAAAAUAAAUCAUUUCCUAUUUUCUAUAAACAAUAUGUAGAUAAUUAAAGAAAGCAGCAUUG
Molecule: long non-coding RNA, 969 nt
Organism: Macaca mulatta (Rhesus monkey)
Lineage: Eukaryota; Metazoa; Chordata; Mammalia; Primates; Cercopithecidae
Source: RefSeq, a predicted model, not a curated record